UCCUUCUCCCCAGGCGGCAAUGCUGGCUCAAGAAACGGGUUUCUCUUUGUCCCAGCUGCCUGUAUCUCCUUCCCCUUCUCUGCGCUAUCCUCCGCCAAUGCAACCGCUGGAUGAAACCCAUCCGCGCCUGCCAUAGCCAGCCUUCGCUGCAAGCUGAGCAGGGAUUUCUCGGCCUUCCUCCGUUGCCGCACCUGCUCCACCUUGUCCACCCUGUCCUUGGUCGCCGAAGGCUCAUCCCACACCUCCGUGCUCACAUAGGUGUGCGGAUCCGGGAACGCAGGCAGCCACUCCGGCACGUGCUUCAACCCAGUCUCCCUCCCCGCCGCCGCCGCAGCCGGGCUGGCAGAGGGCUGCGGCUGCACGCGCUGGACGGGGAACCUAGGCAGCGGCCGCGCGAACGGCACCUCGUCCUUGGAGUCGACGAACGCCAUGAGGUCCCUGACGACGCCGGAACCAACGAGGCAGCGGCCCGUGUCCGCCGCGCCCGCGAAGCCGUCCGUGUCGGCGCCGACCUCCUCGAGCACCUGGAUGACGUCGAGUUCGUUGGCGAGCGCGCGGCCGGCGAGGUUGGCGUUGAAGGCGGCGGACCGGCCCAGGUGGGUGAUGUAGCGCAAGAGGACGUCGACGACCGCGUCCACCGCGGAGCGGUGCGCGCAGUCGAACCCCGCGGCCUCCAGCGCCUGCGCAACCGCGGCGCGUGCCACCGCCCGCCCGAACUCGUCCCCGCUGCCGCUGCCUCCUCCGCUCAUAUCUCCGCCGCUUCUCCUCCCCACGCCUUCCAGGCACUCAUGCCGCCGAAGCACCGAGCAGGGCUGGUCACAGAUCCGGACGGGCAGACGGCCGCUAGGGUUCAGAUCUCUCGGACUGCGCCACCGCCCGACCCGAAUCGAUUGACCCACGCUCAGCAACGCAUCGAAUCGAGCUCCUCCAGCUCGCUCUCGCUCCCGGCUGGCCGCCUGAGUGAUUCGAGCUGGAAUUCAAAUUCAAGCCACAAACGGUU
Molecule: unclassified non-coding RNA, 1000 nt
Filed under: Zea mays
Lineage: Eukaryota; Viridiplantae; Streptophyta; Magnoliopsida; Poales; Poaceae
Description: misc RNA Zm00001eb029500
Source: RNAcentral